RNAcentral lists this microRNA precursor (97 nucleotides) under Felis catus (domestic cat). RNAcentral describes it as "mir-544 microRNA precursor family". It matches the Rfam family "mir-544 microRNA precursor family". RNAcentral also lists the same sequence under 5 other names. Lineage: Eukaryota; Metazoa; Chordata; Mammalia; Carnivora; Felidae. The record is from Rfam by way of RNAcentral.
AUCACCUGGGGAUCUUGUUAACACGCAGAUUCUGAUUCAGUGGGUCUGAAUGGGGUCUGGGGUUCUGCAUUUCUAAUAAGCUCCCAGGGGAUGUUAA